This is a long non-coding RNA of Gadus macrocephalus (Pacific cod), 2102 nucleotides long. RefSeq lists it as uncharacterized. The transcript has 5 exons. Lineage: Eukaryota; Metazoa; Chordata; Actinopteri; Gadiformes; Gadidae. The record is from RefSeq and is a predicted model, not a curated record.
GAGUCUGUUAGGAAGAUAUCACCACAUGGCAUAAGGGUUAGAUACAGUAUGAUAUCGACAUCCCAGGAGUCCUGAUGUACGUUUUAUAUAUUAACAUGUGGUUUGGUUUUAGGGAUUCAUUUUGGAUUCCUUAAAGGGAAACUUCACCCAUUUCCUUUAUGCUUUGUAUCGUUAGAAACCCACUCAUAUUUUUGAAUGGUCGUGCAUCAUUCCCUUAUUUUCUGGAGAGACUGGAGAGAUCCGUAUCGAUCUCCAACACUUCCUGUUUAAGAUGACGCAAUAUGACGAUUUUUGCGUAGAAGCUACAAGCACUAGUCCCACCCCCUAGGGUGGGACCCACUGACGCUACAGACCUAUUAGAGCAGUGCCAGUGGGUGGGACUACACCAGCAGAAACUAACAUCCACAGCGUCUGAAGCUAAGCUAACAGAGGCUGUUGAUAAAACUGAAGUACAAUUCACUGAGUUCACCAACUAAUACUCUUCACUAGAAUGAUUUUCAAGCAGUCUUGCGGUAUCAGCUUGGUAGAUGGAACAGCGAGGUGUCCGAUAGGCGGAGAUCUAGAUCAGCGGGAGUGGCCAGCGAAGCUGUGCAUCGUGGUACAUGGUGGGAGUUGUUGUCUUCAAUCCACAAGCACCAAAAAGUCACUUUCUGCCUUUUCUCGGUCAAGACGGCACCAAAUUAGAAUUAUUUUAUUUUUAGUAGUUUUAUUCGACUACAUAUAGGACCCAAUUUCAAUACAUAUUCAUGCCUCCACCGGUGAAAUGCUCCUUUAAUUUAUGGAUAAUUAAAUGUGUAUGUGUGAGCAAAAACUAUAAGACAUGUAUACAGUGUCUUGAACAACCUCACCUAACUCUGAUGCCAAUGUGCAAUCAACUCAAUACCAAGAAUGAAUGCAUCCACAUCUUUGUUCUCCUACAUUCUCUAUUUUCUUCUCACUUUCUAAUAAAAGUUCAAGGUUCCGCACUAAAAUGUAAUAUUUGUACACUGUAUGAGAACCAAAUCACCUCAUUGUAUCAGAGUGACUAGGUCACUCUUGGGACAAACCACUUCAAUAGAUAUUAGCCAGACAAGACAAGGUUAGUAGAGUUUAUUUUAUUAGUACAGGAUGGUUAAAACCAGACAGAGACGAUCUUUCUUGGUUAUAAUGUUGAAAGUUUAUAAUAGCCAUAAAAUAUACAACCACAAAUUUCAAAUGUAAUAUAUUCCUAUGUUUACAUAGUCAUUAUUUUAGUACCUUAGAGGUAAAUUCCCUCAGCAAAACAGAGCUAUGCAUCACUAGGCUUCCACAGAGAUGUGGGAGAGCUCCUUGUGUAAACUGACUUAAGUAAACAACAAGGCUAAUGGCUGCCCACACACACAGACACACACAUACUCUUAUACACACUGACAAAGCUACACACACACACACACACACACUUAAGACACGUCCACAGAGAGACAUUACGAGAGACACACACACACACUCUCCACCCACGCCAUAGACUUAACACAGUGUGUGUGUGGUACUGACCUGCAGGUUGGCCAUGGUGUGGUACCACCAGAAGAGGCGGGAGGUGAUGAAAUAAGCCACCACCACGUCUACGCUGUAGUGCUCGUGGGCCACCAGGAUGCACACCACGCCCACUGCGCUGAUCAGCCAGCACAGCAGGUGGUACCACCAGAAUGACCGCGGAAGUCCCCGCACAUGAGGUGGGAGCCCGUGAUGGAGAGCCCUGCGCCCGAGAUCAGCUGGAGGAUACGCUGGAGCUUAGCCUGGGAAUCACCGUGUAGCUACAUACAAAAAGAAAGGCUGAAGUCAUGUGCAUGCCAGGCACGGGGAGGGUUGUGAUGUACAUGGUGACACAGCGGUACAGGUACAGUGUACCAAUGAGGAAGAAGAACCGCCUGCUUGCAAUUGACCUGAAACAACAUGAGGGACCAGAGCCGACUUUCAUUGAGUUGAUUUCUCUACAGAAAGUAAAGUUGAAUGAAAGGAGAAAAACAACUCCCAAGGGGUUACGGUGAUGGAAGAUCUCACCUGUAUUUGAAGAAGAAGAGCUGGAUGAGCCAUAUGGUCACCAGCACCAUGCCGUUCACCUCGGUCACAGUGAACGCCCACUU